UCAGACAAGUGGAUAGCCGCUGCCAAUUUUCUCUAAACCCCGAUGAAUAUCGGGGCGGACAAAAUCGGUAGAGGAAAGUCCGGACACCGCCAAUUCUAUCCGCGAGCAUAUUCGCCUAAAAACGAAUCGGAUAAAAUUGGUAAAAAGGGUACCACCUAACGGAUGGGCAAUUUGGAGGGAUAAUCCGCCCCGCAAAUGCGGGGUGAAAAACUCUCCUGACGGAAUAGUGCCACAGAGACAAUACUACCGAGCGCGUAAAAUUUUAUGCGCUUGGGAAAGGUGAAAAGUGAAGAAGUGUUUAUCGCUCUUACAAGCCUAAAGCUUGUAAAAACGAGAAAGCUAUUCUUCUUCCCGGCAAGUAAUUGCCGGCGAUGGAAAACCCUACCUGGUGCAACUCGUAAAACGAGGCUUGACCCCGACAGCAAUGUCGGGGCUAGAUAGAUGGCUAUCUUCCCGCUAUUCGGCGGGGAACAAAAUCCGGCUUAUAACUUGUCUGACCAA
This 501-nucleotide RNase P RNA is filed under the name bacterium. RNAcentral describes it as "RNase P RNA component class A". It matches the Rfam family "Bacterial RNase P class A". From Rfam's summary of the family: Ribonuclease P (RNase P) is a ubiquitous endoribonuclease, found in archaea, bacteria and eukarya as well as chloroplasts and mitochondria. The record is from RNAcentral.